UGGGGAAUUUUGGACAAUGGGCGAAAGCCUGAUCCAGCAAUGCCGCGUGUGUGAAGAAGGCCUUCGGGUUGUAAAGCACUUUUGUCCGGAAAGAAAUCCUUGGCUCUAAUACAGUCGGGGGAUGACGGUACCGGAAGAAUAAGCACCGGCUAACUACGUGCCAGCAGCCGCGGUAAUACGUAGGGUGCAAGCGUUAAUCGGAAUUACUGGGCGUAAAGCGUGCGCAGGCGGUUUGCUAAGACCGAUGUGAAAUCCCCGGGCUCAACCUGGGAACUGCAUUGGUGACUGGCAGGCUAGAGUAUGGCAGAGGGGGGUAGAAUUCCACGUGUAGCAGUGAAAUGCGUAGAGAUGUGGAGGAAUACCGAUGGCGAAGGCAGCCCCCUGGGCCAAUACUGACGCUCAUGCACGAAAGCGUGGGGAGCAAACAGGAUUAGAUACCCUGGUAGUCCACGCCCUAAACGAUGUCAACUAGUUGUUGGGGAUUCAUUUCCUAGUACGUAGCUAACGCGUGAAGUUGACCGCCUGGGGAGUACGGUCGCAAGAUUAAAA
RNAcentral lists this ribosomal RNA (549 nucleotides) under uncultured bacterium. Its description in RNAcentral is "partial 16S ribosomal RNA". It matches the Rfam family "Bacterial small subunit ribosomal RNA", at positions 355 to 899 of the family's 1533-position model. The record is from RNAcentral.